CAGUCGCCGCGGUAAUACGAAGGGGGCUAGCGUUGUUCGGAUUUACUGGGCGUAAAGGGCGCGUAGGCGGACUGAUAAGUCAGGGGUGAAAUCCCAAGGCUCAACCUUGGAACUGCCUUUGAUACUGUUUGUCUUGAGUUCGAGAGAGGUAAGUGGAACUGCGAGUGUAGAGGUGAAAUUCGUAGAUAUUCGCAAGAACACCAGUGGCGAAGGCGGCUUACUGGCUCGAAACUGACGCUGAGGCGCGAAAGCGUGGGGAGCAAACAGGAUUAGAUACCCCAGUAGUCCCUGUCUCUUAUAU
RNAcentral lists this ribosomal RNA (301 nucleotides) under uncultured bacterium. RNAcentral describes it as "partial 16S ribosomal RNA". It matches the Rfam family "Bacterial small subunit ribosomal RNA", at positions 509 to 809 of the family's 1533-position model. The record is from RNAcentral.